GCCAGGGCUCUGCUGGUGGAGUGGGGAAAUGCAGCUGCAAUUCCAGGACACACAGAGACUGCACAUGUGCAGAAGUAUGCAGAGAGAAUGCAUCUUUCGUGUAAGAAAAACAGUUUCAAGUCCCUGUGCUUCGAUCGUGGAACUUAUUGUAUGAUAUUGUAGUCUUCCGUCCAUUAUGGGCAACGCUGAAGACACACAGCCCAGGGCACAAGUCACAUCCAGAACAGCCACAGCUCCCUCAACAAGGACUGUAAGGACAAAGCAAGGAGAAACAAUCCAAACCAAUUGAAACCAAUCCUAACUACAGUUUACUCCCAGACUUUGUAUUUUUAUGAGGAAAAACAAGCACAAAAGUACCUUACCUCUGUUUGCCUGGUAUCUGUUGUUCACAGCAAAUUCAACUCCUAAAUGAU
Molecule: long non-coding RNA, 413 nt
Filed under: Papio anubis (olive baboon)
Lineage: Eukaryota; Metazoa; Chordata; Mammalia; Primates; Cercopithecidae
Description: lncRNA (ENSPANG00000040147.1)
Source: RNAcentral